AAAAAACAAAACCUAAAAGACCCUAAAACAUUUCAGCCGCCACACCUUGAGACCGCCCCUCCCCGUCCGUUCUUCUUCUCCGUCCAAACCACCACCUUCACCCCACAUCGGAAACAACCCACCCCCCCCCCCUUUUUUAGCAUUUAAUAUCAAAGCUGUGUAAUUUUAUUGGUAUUUAAUUGUGUGUGACAAUUAUUAUAGGAUUUAAUUAGUACUUUAAGAUAAUUCUAAUUUUUAUAAUUUAAUCUUAGCAUUUUUAGUUUUAUUAAUUAGGAAGUUGAAUAAAUAGAAAAGAAACAAAGAGAAAAAGAGUUGAAAAUCGGAAUUGGGCUCCUUCUUCAAUUUUAAACCUAGAACCAAAAUAUCCCCUACCCAACCUAAAACCCACUGACCCGGUCCAUUUCCACUCUCCCUUUUGAUUUUUCAGAUUUUUCGUUCUUUGACUUCCCUAACAAAUACAAAAAACAAAACCUAAAAGACCCUAAAACAUUUCAGCCGCCACACCUUGAGACCGCCCCUCCCCGUCCGUUCUUCUUCUCCGUCCAAACCACCCCCUUCCCCCCACAUCGGAAACAACCCCCCCCCCCCCCUUCGUCACUGUCGUCGUCCCCGUUGACCAAAACAGUCGCCUCCCAUCUCCAACGAGCCAUCAACGACCAGCCUUCACGUCCAAAAUGAACCCCACAAUUUCCAGCCAUCUCCAGCUCCAAACAACCCCUAUUUCCUCAACUUCCAGGUUCACAUCUCCAGCGAACCAAUAGUCAUGUCCAGCAACGUCGGAGUCCAUCCGUUCUUCGCCAGGAACGUCGACCAGCCGCCAGUCCACCACCAGCCUUCUAUUGUCUUCUUCAGUCCAUUGUCGACCGCUCCGUUCACUUCUAGACAGCCUGCACAUAGAAACUGAGUUUGGAUUUGUUAUGGACUUCAUGUAAACUUCAUAAGUUUCAUUUCUUCUGAUUUUAAUAUAAAUAGACUCAAGUCCGGUCAUGGAGUUUUGUUCGAGUUUUAUUGUUGUUUCGUUGGUUUGGUGUGACUAGUCGAGGUAGCAGUUUUCCGUCGAGGUUCAUUCAAGCAUUCGCCAGUCGUGAUUCCUGUUUGAGAUUCAUUAUUCCCGAUGCUAUCUUUGUUCAUUUUUAAGAAGCUCGGAUCAAACAUCGGUUACACAAGGAACUUGUGGUACAGUUUGUAGAAUUAUUAUUCAGAUGUGUUAUGUUAUUUCUCUUCUCUUCGUUGUCUAUCAUUUGUUGCAUAUGAGUUUAGUAUAUUAUAGUGUUCAUUCAUGUUUGUUUAAGUCAUAAGUGUGUUAGCCCAUGCAUUGAGUUGUGUCAAUCGUGAUUCAAAACUUUACCUUAAUAGUUCACUCCAACUAUUUCUGAAUCAUUGAAUCUUUCAUCUUGAUUGUAAUGAUGUUUGAUUUAAUUUGACGUUCAACUUAUAUUGUGUUUA
Molecule: long non-coding RNA, 1446 nt
Filed under: Nicotiana benthamiana
Lineage: Eukaryota; Viridiplantae; Streptophyta; Magnoliopsida; Solanales; Solanaceae
Description: long non-coding RNA (NBEN_LNC006130)
Source: RNAcentral